UACAGAGGGUGCGAGCGUUGUCCGGAAUCACUGGGCGUAAAGGGCGCGUAGGCGGUUGCCUAAGCGUGUGGUGAAAGCCCGGGGCUCAACCCCGGGUCGGCCAUGCGAACUGGGCGACUGGAGCCGAUCAGAGGCAGGCGGAAUUCCGGGUGUGAGCGGUGGAAUGCGUAGAGAUCCGGAAGAACGACCGGUGGCGAAGGCGGCCUGCUGGGAUCGAGCUGACGCUGAGGCGCGACAGCGGUGGGGAGCAAACGAGG
RNAcentral lists this ribosomal RNA (257 nucleotides) under uncultured bacterium. RNAcentral's name for it is "partial 16S ribosomal RNA". It matches the Rfam family "Bacterial small subunit ribosomal RNA", at positions 524 to 777 of the family's 1533-position model. The record is from RNAcentral.